UUGGCCGCAGGCAGGUACUUGCCGUCGUAGACGCUGGCCGUGGUGAAGAAGGCGAUCCAGGACACGAAGUUGAAGAGCAGGCUGAAGAGCCUUUCCCCCUCUCAUCCCACCUCUCUCCUGGCCACCCUCCCCUUCCAGAACCUGCCAAAGACCCAGAGGAUUUCUCAGACUCUCCCAUUAUUGGCAACCUCAUUCAUCAUUAGAGCUUCUGCGAGGUUGGACAGAAAAGCCUGCACCUCAGAAUCACCUCCCCUUGAGUGAGACAGAAGGUGAAGAAUUGCUUACACUCCCGCAGCUCCUUGACCUAGCCGCUGAAGAUGAACGAGGCCCAGGGCCCCAGGCCCCAACUGCCAAACUGCCAUCAAUGCAGCAGAGCCCAGGGUAACUCUGCUAGUAUCAGGUAAGCCGAUCUCCUCUUUUUUUUUUUUUUCUUUGAGACGGAGUCU
This is a long non-coding RNA of Homo sapiens (human), 446 nucleotides long. RefSeq lists it as uncharacterized. Lineage: Eukaryota; Metazoa; Chordata; Mammalia; Primates; Hominidae. The record is from RefSeq and is a predicted model, not a curated record. The transcript has 3 exons.